UGAGGAAUAUUGGGCAAUGCCCGCAAGGGUGACCCAGCAACGCCGCGUGGAGGAUGAAUGUCGUAAGAUUGUAAACUCCUGUUAGAGGGGAAGAAUAGUACCGGUUGGACCGGUAUAUGACUGUACACUCAGAGAAAACCCCGGCUAACUACGUGCCAGCAGCCGCGGUAAUACGUAGGGGGCAAGCGUUGUCCGGAUUUACUGGGUGUAAAGGGCGCGCAGGCGGGAUAAAAAGUCAGUGGUGAAAUCCUACAGCUUAACUGUAGAACUGCCUUUGAUACUUUUAUUCUUGAGUUCGGGAGAGAGAGACGGAAUUCCAGGUGUAGUGGUGAAAUACGUAGAUAUCUGGAAGAACACCAGUUGCGAAGGCGGUCUCUUGGUCCGACACUGACGCUGAGGCGCGAAAGCGUGGGGAGCAAACA
This 422-nucleotide ribosomal RNA is filed under the name uncultured bacterium. RNAcentral's name for it is "bacterial SSU rRNA". It matches the Rfam family "Bacterial small subunit ribosomal RNA", at positions 355 to 774 of the family's 1533-position model. The record is from RNAcentral.